AAGUCUACAGGGUGAAGCCUCGCUUGCGGGGUGGAUCAGUGGCGAACGGGUGAGUAACACGUGAGCAACCUGCCCCUGACUCUGGGAUAAGCGCUGGAAACGGCGUCUAAUACUGGAUACGAACCACGAAGGCAUCUUCAGUGGUUGGAAAGAUUUAUUGGUUGGGGAUGGGCUCGCGGCCUAUCAGCUUGUUGGUGAGGUAAUGGCUCACCAAGGCGUCGACGGGUAGCCGGCCUGAGAGGGUGACCGGCCACACUGGGACUGAGACACGGCCCAGACUCCUACGGGAGGCAGCAGUGGGGAAUAUUGCACAAUGGGCGCAAGCCUGAUGCAGCAACGCCGCGUGAGGGAUGACGGCCUUCGGGUUGUAAACCUCUUUUAGCAGGGAAGAAGCGAAAGUGACGGUACCUGCAGAAAAAGCACCGGCUAACUACGUGCCAGCAGCCGCGGUAAUACGUAGGGUGCAAGCGUUAUCCGGAAUUAUUGGGCGUAAAGAGCUCGUAGGCGGUUUGUCGCGUCUGCUGUGAAAUCUGGGGGCUCAACCCCCAGCCUGCAGUGGGUACGGGCAGACUAGAGUGCGGUAGGGGAGAUUGGAAUUCCUGGUGUAGCGGUGGAAUGCGCAGAUAUCAGGAGGAACACCGAUGGCGAAGGCAGAUCUCUGGGCCGUAACUGACGCUGAGGAGCGAAAGGGUGGGGAGCAAACAGGCUUAGAUACCCCUGGUAGUCCACCCCGUAAACGUUGGGAACUAGUUGUGGGGUCCAUUCCACGGAUUCCGUGACGCAGCUAACGCAUUAAGUUCCCCGCCUGGGGAGUACGGCCGCAAGGCUAAAACUCAAAGGAUUGACGGGGACCCGCACUAGCCGCGGAGCAUGCGGAUUAAUUCGAUGCAUCGCUAAGUAUCUUUACAAGGCUUGACUUAUACGAGAACGGGCAAAAAUGGUCAACUCUUUGGAAACUCGAAACGGGGGGGCAUGGUUGU
Molecule: ribosomal RNA, 980 nt
Filed under: Microbacterium sp.
Lineage: Bacteria; Bacillati; Actinomycetota; Actinomycetes; Micrococcales; Microbacteriaceae
Description: bacterial SSU rRNA
Rfam family: Bacterial small subunit ribosomal RNA
Source: RNAcentral